Molecule: non-coding RNA, 46 nt
Filed under: Trichobilharzia regenti
Lineage: Eukaryota; Metazoa; Platyhelminthes; Trematoda; Strigeidida; Schistosomatidae
Source: RNAcentral
GUACAGCUGAAGAGUCCCAAACUAGGACGAAACAGUUGUCCAGUAC